CCUACGGGAGGCAGCAGUGGGGAAUCUUGCGCAAUGGGCGAAAGCCUGACGCAGCAACGCCGCGUGGGGGAUGAAGGCCUUCGGGUUGUAAACCCCUUUCAGCAGGGACGCGGUACCUGCAGAAGAAGCCCCGGCCAACUACGUGCCAGCAGCCGCGGUAAUACGUAGGGGGCGAGCGUUGUCCGGAUUUAUUGGGCGUAAAGAGCUCGUAGGCGGCUUGGCAAGUCGGGUGUGAAACCUCCAGGCUCAACCUGGAGACGCCACUCGAUACUGCCAGGCUAGAGUCCGGUAGGGGACCACGGAAUUCCUGGUGUAGCGGUGAAAUGCGCAGAUAUCAGGAGGAACACCGGUGGCGAAGGCGGUGGUCUGGGCCGGACUGACGCUGAGGAGCGAAAGCGUGGGUAGCAAACAGGAUUAGAUACCCUUGUAGUC
RNAcentral lists this ribosomal RNA (432 nucleotides) under uncultured bacterium. Its description in RNAcentral is "partial 16S ribosomal RNA". It matches the Rfam family "Bacterial small subunit ribosomal RNA", at positions 338 to 795 of the family's 1533-position model. The record is from RNAcentral.